AGAGGAUAGAGUUAUUAAGUCUAAAGUCCAUUAUUUGCUUUUGUCCUUCAGGAAAAGAUGGUCCUGACUCUGGGUGGAUCUAACAAGGAUCCUGGAACUCCAGGGGUAUGGCUUAAUUCUUAGCGGAUUCGAUCCUGGCUUUACAUCAAGUCUCACAGGUUCUGCUUUUUGGAUUUACCGGGAACUUCCCAGUCCAGACGAUUGGAAUUACAGCAUUAUACUUUGACUGGUAUGAUCUUCUGCUUUCGGGAACGCUGCGAGGAGCUUUGUGAGUCGAGGGCGAUGGUUCUCCCCGAGAAUACCUCGGCGCCGGCCGGAGUUCGAUCGACACUCGAUCUCGUCCGGUCUCACUCGCAAGGUCCCGUCUGGGUCGCCAAAACCGUUACCGAAAUCCGGAAUAGAACUCCUUAACACCAACGUGAAGUUAAGAAGCGGGCACUUCGUUUAUCGCAGCGCUGGGGACACCGGGGAUCGCUCCUCCAAAGGCGUGUCCCACUUAGUAUCAAAAUCCAUCAGUUUUUACAGACUUUUUCUGUCAGGUCAUUGUUACAUAAGCUCUUUCCAUAAAAAGGCAUACUAUGCUCGUUCUUAAAUUUAA
Molecule: long non-coding RNA, 598 nt
Organism: Harpia harpyja (harpy eagle)
Lineage: Eukaryota; Metazoa; Chordata; Aves; Accipitriformes; Accipitridae
Exons: 4
Source: RefSeq, a predicted model, not a curated record